Equus caballus (horse) is the source of this 4072-nucleotide long non-coding RNA. The record is from Ensembl. NCBI's taxonomy places the organism in Eukaryota, Metazoa, Chordata, Mammalia, Perissodactyla, Equidae.
CCGCCUCAAGGAAAGCCCGCCCCUCCUGUGGCGCGGGCCCGGGAUACCCUUCCGGGCUGGACAGUGCACAGUGCGCGUGCGUCGGCGCCAUGGCCUCAGUUGGGUUGUCCCGGUUACUCGGCUGCGUCCCGGCCGCGGCGUGGAGAGCGGCAAGAUCACCCCUUCUGUGUCAUUCUUUGAGGAAAACGAGUUCUUCUCAAGGAGGAAAGUCUGAACCUGUCAAGCAAUCCCUUAAGAAGCCCAAGUUACCAGAAGAUUCCCAUUUAGAGAAAGAACCACUGACAAAAUUUCCAGAUGAUGUUAAUCCUGUUACCAAAGAAAAAGGUGGACCCAGGGGCCCGGAACCUACCCGCUAUGGAGAUUGGGAACGAAAAGGACGCUGCAUUGAUUUUUAAGCCAUGUAUUCUUUACCUUCACUAUCUGUUUCUGAAUAUGCACAUCUGAAUUAACUGAUUACUUUAUUUUUGUAUAUCCUUUAAGUCAUCUAAUUUCUAUAAUGUGUUUAAAAAUAUAUAUGAUGGCUUUGGAAGAAAAUAUGCUGCUAUAAAUUAGGAAAGGGAAAAUAUACAUUAGCACAUUAAUUUAAAUGUAUUGAGGUAUAUAAGUGAUGAGAAAAGCAAACUUUUCCUUCAUAUUUCAGUUAAAUCAGUUGCUUAUAAAAUGCAAAUGUGAAUAAAAUAAGUUUUUUAUUGAUUGCAUUGCCAUGUGCUAGGUAAUAGUGGCUUUUUAAAUGCGGAUUGAGUGGUGCAUUAUAGUUUGAGGAGACGACAGUAACAUCAGAAAGUCUUUAACUUGGAGCCAGAUGACUUGCGUCCAAAUCCUGGCUGUACUGCUUACUAGCUGUGUUACCUUGGAUAGGUUAUUUAUCUUCUCUGUUCUUCACUAUCUUUAUGUGUAAAUUGGAGAUGAUGCUCAUUCCACCUGAUAGGGCAGUUGAGACGAUUAAAUGAGUAAAUACCUGUGAACCGCUUGGAGCAGUGCAUAGCACAUACUUCUCAGUAAGUGGUAGCUAGCUUUAAACCAUAAAUGUAUUUAUCCAAGUCUCCACACUUCCUGGGGGAAAAGAUUAAGAAACUGAAAUUUGAAAUACUAAAAUUGAAAUUGUCUUAUAUGAAUAUAAUGUUAAAAAUCUUUAGUUGGAAAGUUAGUGAUUAUAUGCAUGAGUGAACUGAGGUGAAAUAGACAUUAGUUUGUGAAACAUGAAAUUCAGGUACAGAGGGCAAAUAGGAGAAAAGCAGCGAUGGAAUGGACCAGCUCAGUCAGUUUUGAUUGACUCAGAAGCUCCUACCGUGUGUCCUUCGGACAACUGGGUCAGAAAAAGUCAAGUCCAGUUGACAGAUGUGGAAUGAAGGAAGGAUGGAAACUACUGGGCUCCCCAAGGCGUCUUUCGCUGUCCUGUGGCCUCAGUCACAAAGACCGAGCCUUCAGCCCCCAGGACACUAAAAUUACUUAGAGAGGGUUUGCAAAGCCCGUAGAAGAAAGAAUGCAGUGGGCUGAUACUAUGUGAUGUGAACUGUAGGUGCAGUAUUAUUUGAGAAGAUUGUACGGAGACUUAUUUAAGAGAAGAAGCUUUUUAAAAAAGUGUAUUUUCCCCAGAUACACACAAAAGAGUAUGGUAAUUGGGACUAGUCAUUCAGUCUUGAUCCCAGUUGUCUCUCAGUCAACAUGUGUUCUUUUAAUUGCAGUUACUGUGUGUGCUGCUAAGUAAUAACCACAUUCCUUUAGAAAUACUCUAUAAUUUAGUCAGCCUUCAAUUGCCCAAAUUAUUGAAGAUUUUUAGUAAGUUAACAGUCCAGAAAUAUUGUGUUAUUUUGUACUGUAUAGCUUUGCUUGUGUUCCACAUUGAUCAUCAUGAUAUGUGAUAAGGACAACUUACAUAUUUCAGAAGCUAACAUAAAAUAUAUAAUAACUGAAGUGUUGUGUUAAGAUAAUAGAAUCUUUAACCUCUGUCAAUAGUAACGUGAUUCAUGACAGCUAUCAAAUAUAUAGGUAAAAGUUGGUGGAAUGAAAACAUACUUGGUCUUAUGUCCAUCAAAACCCUGAAGACUUAGAAAAGAUGAUACGGCAGCAAUGGAACGCGUAACUCAGAUCUGCAGGAAGUAGAGUUGACGGAGACGCAGCUGCUGCCCCGUGGGAUCCACCACCAUGUUCCUGCCGAGGCCACACUUCCCCAGGCUGUUCCUAGCCAAUGAGUGGGUAUGACGGGGCUGCAGUGAAGCAGUCUGAUGGCCCACUCCCCUGCUGGACGACCUUGGCUCAAGGACUCCUCAUUAGCCUGCCCGGAGUUUUCUUAGGACUGUGCUGCUGUCCGAGGCUCUUCCUGCCCAGUCCUCCUCUCCUUCCCUCUCCCUUCACAGGGGUCAGGCUCUGCCUGCUCCUCCCCUCUGGGAUUCACAAAUGUCUCCCCAGUCCUCCUCUCCUUCCCUCUCCCUUCACAGGGGUCAGGCUCUGCCUGCUCCUCCCCUCUGGGAUUCACAAAUGUCUCCCCAGUCCUCCUCUCCUUCCCUCUCCCUUCACAGGGGUCAGGCUCUGCCUGCUCCUCCCCUCUGGGAUUCACAAAUGUCUCCCCAGUCCUCCUCUCCUUCCCUCUCCCUUCACAGGGGUCAGGCUCUGCCUGCUCCUCCCCUCUGGGAUUCACAAAUGUCUCCCCAGUCCUCCUCUCCUUCCCUCUCCCUUCACAGGGGUCAGGCUCUGCCUGCUCCUCCCCUCUGUAGUUCACAGAUGUCUCCCCAGUAAAUCUUUUCUACAUUUAAUCCCAUCUUAGCAUUUGUUUCUCAGAACUGAAACUAAUAUGGAUAGUUUUAAAAAGAACAACUUAUAGAUAAAUUGUCAGAAAAUGUCACACAAAACUUGUGGGUUUUUCUAGUGUAAUCAUAGUUUAAAUAGUUUAAUUUUCCAUUGCUUGGGGAUUUCUGGGAAAUUAUAGGUUGAGCUUUUAUGUACAAGGCUCGCACCAUGGAACCUUGUUCAUAUUAGGCAUUUUGCUGGAAUUGAAUUAUGCUCAGCAUUUUUUCCUUGCUUUGGUGUCAGUUGCUAUGACCUACCAUGAGUCAAAAUAUAACAUUACAUAUUAUUAAACUUGUAAGAACAAACCUAAGCCACGUUCUGCUAGUAAAUAACACAUGUUCUUUCGAUGAAUAGAAUGGUUUAUAAUGAACAGACUUGGUAAUAGUAAUAAUUAAUGAUAUAUCAGCAAUUUUAAAGAUAAUUUCAGAACAGAACAGUAGUUUUUAUAAGUAUAGGAUAAGAAUGGCUGCAGGCUGUUAGUCAGCCAACACUUAUUGAUCAGUUAGAAGGAAAGUAAAAUGAAGAGCGCCUGGCAGGUUUGUUCAUGCAUUCAGUUGAUUCUUUCAUUUAAUCAGUGAUUAUUUGUCUGCUACGUGCCAGGUGUUCUGCUAGGCUUUGGGUGUUUGGUGUUGGAUUAAAGCAAACCCUUGCCAUCCUGGCAUAAAGUCUGGUGGGUUUGAUUUGCACGUGAGAACAGUUCCAAAGGACAGCCGACUGAAGCCUAAAUGCAUUGCAAGGGACUGUCCUUUGCCUCAACCAACCAAAGGGGCCUUCCUAAGUUUGAUGAGACUGUCACUUUCUGGGUUUUUGAUACUAGAGGACUCUUCAGAGACCUGUGUUUUCACCUUUUUAAAUCUAAACUGACCUUGUGUGGGCCAGGCCCAGUGGCCUAGUGGUUAAGGUCAGUGUCCUCCACUUUGGUGGCCCAGGUUCAGUUCCCAGGUGUGGACCUACACCACUCACCUAUCAGUGACCAUGCUGUGGUGGCGAGCCACAUACGAAAUAGAGGAAGACUGGCAACAGGUGGUAGCUCAGGGUGAAUCUUUCUCAGCAGAAAAUAAACUGACUCUGAGAUAUUUAUUAAUCAAGUUAAAUACUCAUUCUGUGAUCAUACGUGUUCUGACCUUGCCAUAGAUCAGCCUCCCUAGACAUUGACUAAGAAGAUGUGGAGUAAGCAGAGUGAUAUAAUUAAGGUUGCUCAAGCCAUUCCUGGCCCGAGAAGAACAUUUUUGGUGCAUCCCUCUGCACGAACACUGGAGCUAAAGCUGCCCCUGAUUUGCCUGAG